AGACAGAGGGUGCAAGCGUUGUUCGGAAUUAUUGGGCGUAAAGGGCGCGUAGGCGGCCAUGUAAGUCAGAUGUGAAAGCCCAGGGCUCAACCCUGGAAGUGCGUCUGAUACUGCGUGGCUUGAAUCCCGGAGGGGGUGGUGGAAUUCCCAGUGUAGAGGCGAAAUUCGUAGAUAUUGGGAGGAAUACCGGUAGCGAAGGCGACCACCUGGACGGAGAUUGACGCUGAGGCGCGAAAGCGUGGGGAGCAAACAGGAUUAGAUACCCUGGUAGUCCACGCCGUAAACGAUGGGUACUAGGCGUUGUGGGUAUUGACCCCUACAGUGCCGACGCUAACGCAUUAAGUACCCCGCCUGGGAAGUACGGCCGCAAGGCUAAA
RNAcentral lists this ribosomal RNA (377 nucleotides) under uncultured bacterium. RNAcentral's name for it is "bacterial SSU rRNA". It matches the Rfam family "Bacterial small subunit ribosomal RNA", at positions 523 to 898 of the family's 1533-position model. The record is from RNAcentral.